Small nucleolar RNA from Cercocebus atys (sooty mangabey), 105 nucleotides. NCBI's taxonomy places the organism in Eukaryota, Metazoa, Chordata, Mammalia, Primates, Cercopithecidae. The record is from Ensembl.
UGUUUAAUGAUUAAGGAAGGUCCCUGUCCCCAGCCAGGGGCUGUGGGUAACACCACAGCUGCCCCAGGGCUGGCCAAUUGGGCAGAUGUUCAGGGGCUGAGAACA